UCCUCGAUAGUAUAGCGGUAAGUAUUUUCGCCUGUCACGCGAGAGACCCGGGUUCGACACCCGGUCGAGGAG
This is a non-coding RNA of Schistocerca gregaria, 72 nucleotides long. The record is from the annotation of a RefSeq genome assembly. NCBI's taxonomy places the organism in Eukaryota, Metazoa, Arthropoda, Insecta, Orthoptera, Acrididae.